AAUGGAUCAACAUAAUUUUUAAACAUUUAAUCAAUUAAAAAUCAAUUCAAAAACGGAUUUUUUAAAUGCAUUUUAAUUUGGACAAAACCUCAAAUCCCUUCAAAACACCAAAUAAAUGGCCAAGGUAUUUAUCCUAGGUUAAACAAGGUCAAAUGACCUUAGACAAAAGAUUUCAUGAUUUUUAAAAGUCAGAAGUAUUUUUAAACAAUUAAAAAUAUGCACAAAAACAUUUAAU
Molecule: long non-coding RNA, 235 nt
Filed under: Lathyrus oleraceus (garden pea)
Lineage: Eukaryota; Viridiplantae; Streptophyta; Magnoliopsida; Fabales; Fabaceae
Description: Pisum sativum (pea) long non-coding RNA (PSAT_LNC005549)
Source: RNAcentral